RNAcentral lists this ribosomal RNA (670 nucleotides) under uncultured bacterium. RNAcentral's name for it is "bacterial SSU rRNA". It matches the Rfam family "Bacterial small subunit ribosomal RNA", at positions 642 to 1317 of the family's 1533-position model. The record is from RNAcentral.
UGAGUUAUUAUGAAGUAGUUAGAAUAUGUAGUGUAGCGGUGAAAUGCAUAGAUAUUACAUAGAAUACCAAUUGCGAAGGCAGAUUACUAAUAAUCAACUGACACUGAUGGACGAAAGCGUGGGUAGCGAACAGGAUUAGAUACCCUGGUAGUCCACGCCGUAAACGAUGGUUACUAGCUGUUUGGACCUUGUGUCUGAGUGGCUAAGCGAAAGUGAUAAGUAACCCACCUGGGGAGUACGUUCGCAAGAAUGAAACUCAAAGGAAUUGACGGGGGCCCGCACAAGCGGUGGAGCAUGUGGUUUAAUUCGAUGAUACGCGAGGAACCUUACCAGGGCUUAAAUGUAAGUUGCAUUAGUUAGAGAUAGCUAUUUCUUCGGACCACUUACAAGGUGCUGCAUGGUUGUCGUCAGCUCGUGCCGUGAGGUGUCAGGUUAAGUCCUAUAACGAGCGCAACCCCUGUUGUUAGUUGCCAGCGAUUCAAGUCGGGAACUCUAACAAGACUGCCAGUGCAAACUGUGAGGAAGGUGGGGGAUGACGUCAAAUCAUCACGGCCCUUACGUCCUGGGCUACACACGUGCUACAAUGGUAGGGACAGAGAGCAGCCACUACGCGAGUAGGAGCGAAUCUAUAAACCCUAUCACAGUUCGGAUCGGAGUCUGCAACUCGACU